This 852-nucleotide ribosomal RNA is filed under the name Microthecium brevirostre. RNAcentral's name for it is "LSU rRNA". It matches the Rfam family "Eukaryotic large subunit ribosomal RNA", at positions 78 to 948 of the family's 3401-position model. Lineage: Eukaryota; Fungi; Ascomycota; Sordariomycetes; Coronophorales; Ceratostomataceae. The record is from RNAcentral.
CCCUAGUAACGGCGAGUGAAGCGGCAGCAGCCCAGAUUUGGAAUCUGGCCCCCUUGCGGGGCCCGAGUUGUAAUCUGCAGAGGAAGCGUCUGGCGCGGCGCCGGCCUAGUUCCCUGGAACGGGACGCCGUAGAGGGUGACAGCCCCGUACGGUCGGCCGCCAAGCCUGUGUGUCGCUCCUUCGAAGAGUCGCGUAGUUUGGGAAUGCUGCGCAAAGUGGGAGGUAUGCUCCUCCUAAGGCUAAAUACCGGCCAGAGACCGAUAGCGCACAAGUAGAGUGAUCGAAAGAUGAAAAGUACCUUGAAAAUGGGGUUAAACAGUACGUGAAAUUGCCAAAGGGGAAGCGCUCGUGGCCAGACUCGCGCCCGGCGGAUCAUCCGGCUCUCCCGCCGGUGCACUCUGCCGGGCUCGGGCCAGCGUCGGUCGGCGCCGGUACUGAAAGGCGGUGCGAACGUGGCUCCCUUCGGGGAGUGUUAUAGCGCGCCGCGUAAUGUGCUGGUGCCGUCCGAGGACCGCGCUUUAUGCAAGGACGCUGGCGUAAUGGCCACUAGCGGCCCGUCUUGAAACACGGACCAAGGAGUCGCCCAGAGGCGCGAGUGUGCGGGUGACAAACCCCUGCGCGUAGUGAAAGCGAACGCUGGUGGGAGCCCUCACGGGCGCACCACCGACCGAUCCUGAUGUCUUCGGAUGGAUUUGAGUAUGAGCGUCUCUGGUCGGACCCGAAAGAGGGUGAACUAUGCUUGGGUAGGGUGAAGCCAGAGGAAACUCUGGUGGAGGCCCCGUUUGGGUUCUGACGUGCAAAUCGAUCCAUAAACCUGGGCAUAGCGGCGAAAGACUAAUCGAACCUUCUAGA